CUUGGUUUGUGAGUAGUGCUGAGCGACUCGCGCCCUAAGGCGAGUGGCAGGCUUCCAUUUUGAGGGCCUCUCCCACUAGGCCCUCGGCGGGCCCGCGAGGGCCUCGGCGCGGGAAUGUUCCCCCGACGAGGAGAACGGAGCGAUUUGAGCGAGGCACGCUCCUUCUGCGUGGCCCUUAACCAAGCUCGCGUGGAUCUAGAGACGGCUGUCGCAAGCAGCUCGCUUGGCUCGCCUGCUUGAUGUAAAUGGCGGUGCGUGGAAACUAGACGCGAGUGGGGGUUUAAAAAAAAAAACAGCGGUCCGAAAUCCGCGUCCCUUUUUUUAUUACCGUGGUUAAUUGUGGCUUUGGUUUAAAUUGGCGGAGAAAUAUAUAUAUGCGUCGGUCGGUGCCUCGCACAGUAAAAUAGUAGCCGGCCGUAGCAUGCGACGCCGUUUUAAUGUAUUCGUUAUUAGAAUGUUAUUUCAACAGUUGCUGUUGGAAAUGGCGAACGCGUAAAAAAUGAGGCUGAAGGCGCAGUGAAGAGGCUGAACCACGAUGGCGACUCGAGGCGCUCCACAACAACUCGGGAGACGGCGGAGGGGGGAUAAAGCGAGAGAACGGGGCCAGUUAAUGACGCAGAUUUUGGGAUGAACGUGGGGAACAACGUGGCCAUUAAAAUGAGUCGGAACUGUUAAUGAAUUAUAGGUGUGCGUGUUAUGAAGAAGGGUCAUUGCGUGAAAUGUCGCCGAUUUAUAUAUGUUUAAGGCCAAAGGAUUGACACGUUAAUUCCCCCCAUAAUUGUGCACUACUGCUUGGCGAAAGCCUACGUGUUAAAAUCACCAGAUGUGUUGUUUGUCGAGAUCAGAUCAAUGGCGGGAAUUGCGACCGCUGGUUAGAUUUGCACACAACGCACCCUGUGUUAUUGUGAUGGUGGGGGGGGGGGGAGAUGUGCCAAUACAUUGAUUAAGAACGUGUUCCACAAGAAUGGUGGAACACGUUAUCGGGAGUUGUAAACCAUAUAUCGGUGUAGGAAUGAGAUUGUUGGAAGGCGAAGCGUUGCGAUGGCGUCGGUCGAGGUCUCUUAAUCCAGCGGUGGGACGAUUGAUGUUUGACCGUCAUCAUUGACACGAUAGCUGUAAUGAAAUAACUGAAGACGGAAGCGAGCAAUGGUUUUGACGUCGGGUGUGUUGGGAGGAGACUGUCAUCAUAUGUGUGCUCAAAUAAUGCAGAACUAUAUUUAACUAGACGCCAUUUCAUGAAA
Non-coding RNA from Petromyzon marinus (sea lamprey), 1241 nucleotides. The record is from RefSeq and is a predicted model, not a curated record. Lineage: Eukaryota; Metazoa; Chordata; Hyperoartia; Petromyzontiformes; Petromyzontidae.